CCGAGUUUACAACUCCCAAACCCCUGUGAACAUACCUAUUGUUGCUUCGGCGGAACGCCCCGGGUGCUGCGUGCCCCGGAACCAGGCGCCCGCCGGGGACCACAAACUCUUGCUUCAGUAACUGUAUCUUCUGAGUGGCGUAAAGCAAAAAUAAAUUA
Molecule: unclassified non-coding RNA, 158 nt
Filed under: uncultured Hypocreales
Lineage: Eukaryota; Fungi; Ascomycota; Sordariomycetes; Hypocreales
Description: sequence contains ITS1
Source: RNAcentral